GAGCGCCGUAGCAAUACGGAGCGGCAGACGGGAGAGUAACACGUGGGAACGUGCCCUUCAGUUCGGAACAACCCAGGGAAACUUGGGCUAAUACCGGAUACGUCCGUAAGGAGAAAGAUUUAUCGCUGAAGGAUCGGCCCGCGUCUGAUUAGCUUGUUGGUGAGGUAACGGCUCACCAAGGCGACGAUCGAUAGCUGGUCUGAGAGGAUGAUCAGCCACAUUGGGACUGAGACACGGCCCAAACUCCUACGGGAGGCAGCAGUGGGGAAUAUUGGACAAUGGGCGCAAGCCUGAUCCAGCCAUGCUGCGUGAGUGAUGACGGCCUUAGGGUUGUAAAGCUCUUUCGCUCGGGACGAUAAUGACGGUACCGAGAUAAGAAGCCCCGGCUAACUUCGUG
This 397-nucleotide ribosomal RNA is filed under the name uncultured bacterium. RNAcentral's name for it is "bacterial SSU rRNA". It matches the Rfam family "Bacterial small subunit ribosomal RNA", at positions 64 to 507 of the family's 1533-position model. The record is from RNAcentral.